AACCCCUUGAGAGUGGCGAACGGGUGAGUAAUAUAUCGGAACGUGCCCAGUCGUGGGGGAUAACGUAGCGAAAGUUACGCUAAUACCGCAUACGAUCUAAGGAUGAAAGCGGGGGACUCGCAAGAGCCUCGCGCGAUUGGAGCGGCCGAUAUCAGAUUAGGUAGUUGGUGGGGUAAAGGCUCACCAAGCCAACGAUCUGUAGCUGGUCUGAGAGGACGACCAGCCACACUGGAACUGAGACACGGUCCAGACUCCUACGGGAGGCAGCAGUGGGGAAUUUUGGACAAUGGACGCAAGUCUGAUCCAGCCAUUCCGCGUGCAGGAUGAAGGCCCUCGGGUUGUAAACUGCUUUUGUACGGAACGAAAAGGUCUCUCUUAAUACGGGGGGCUCAUGACGGUACCGUAAGAAUAAGCACCGGCUAACUACGUGCCAGCAGCCGCGGUAAUACGUAGGGUGCAAGCGUUAAUCGGAAUUACUGGGCGUAAAGCGUGCGCAGGCGGUUAUAUAAGACAGAUGUGAAAUCCCCGGGCUCAACCUGGGAACUGCAUUUGUGACUGUAUAGCUAGAGUACGGUAGAGGGGGAUGGAAUUCCGCGUGUAGCAGUGAAAUGCGUAGAUAUGCGGAGGAACACCGAUGGCGAAGGCAAUCCCCUGGACCUGUACUGACGCUCAUGCACGAAAGCGUGGGGAGCAAACAGGA
This 700-nucleotide ribosomal RNA is filed under the name uncultured beta proteobacterium. RNAcentral describes it as "bacterial SSU rRNA". It matches the Rfam family "Bacterial small subunit ribosomal RNA", at positions 83 to 777 of the family's 1533-position model. The record is from RNAcentral. Lineage: Bacteria; Pseudomonadati; Pseudomonadota; Betaproteobacteria.